GACGAACGCUGGCGGCGUGCUUAACACAUGCAAGUCGAACGAGUGGCGAACGGGUGAGUAAUACGUGAGUAACCUGCCCUCUUUUUGGGAUAAGCCUUGGAAACGGGGUCUAAUACCGGAUAAAGGGGGAUGGGCUCGCGGCUAAUCAGCUUGGUGGUGGGGUUAUGGCCUACCAAGGCGGCGACGGGUAGACGGCCUGAUGGGGUGACCGGCCACAUAGGGACUGCGAUGCGGCCCAGGCUCCGCAGGUGGGGAGCAGUUGUGGCUAUUGCACAAUGUGCGAAAUCCUGAUGCAGCGACGGCGCGUGGGGGUUUAAGGCUGUCGGGUUGUAUACCUAUUUCGGUACCGAACGGGUAGGUGUAGAAGAAGCGCCGGCUAACUACGUGCCAGCAGCCGCGGUAAUUC
RNAcentral lists this ribosomal RNA (406 nucleotides) under uncultured bacterium. Its description in RNAcentral is "partial 16S ribosomal RNA". It matches the Rfam family "Bacterial small subunit ribosomal RNA", at positions 28 to 526 of the family's 1533-position model. The record is from RNAcentral.